Molecule: ribosomal RNA, 253 nt
Filed under: uncultured bacterium
Lineage: Bacteria
Description: partial 16S ribosomal RNA
Rfam family: Bacterial small subunit ribosomal RNA
Source: RNAcentral
UACGUAGGGGGCUAGCGUUGUCCGGAAUCAUUGGGCGUAAAGCGCGUGUAGGCGGUCCGGUAAGUCCGCUGUGAAAGUCGGGGGCUCAACCCUCGAAUGCCGGUGGAUACUGUCGGGCUAGAGUGCGGAAGAGGCGAGUGGAAUUCCUGGUGUAGCGGUGAAAUGCGUAGAUAUCAAGAGGAACACCUGCGGCGAAGGCGGGUUGCUGGGCCGACACUGACGCUGAGGCGCGAAAGCCAGGGGAGCGAACGGG